UGUAAGCGUAUACCAAAGUUGUUGCAGUUAAAACGCUCGUAGUCGAAUUUUGGUGUGAGUUAUGGAGACUCCUACUGGAUGUUGAAGUAACUUCGCCUUUGUGGAGGGGGGUGUGGUGGUACUUUAUUGUAUUGCUGCAUUUCCGCCACUGUUUACUGUGAAAAAAUUAGAGUGUUCAAAGCGAGCGUUUGCCAUGAAUACAUUAGCAUGGAAUAAUAGAAUAGGACCUGGUUCUGUUUUAUUGGUUUGUCUGUAUCAGGUAAUGAUUAACAGGGACGGUCGGGGGUAUUUGUAUUCCAGCGUUAGAGGUGAAAUUCUUGGAUCGCUGGAAGACAGACAGCUGCGAAAGCGUCUACCAAGGACGUUUUCAUUGA
Molecule: ribosomal RNA, 374 nt
Filed under: uncultured eukaryote
Lineage: Eukaryota
Description: partial 18S ribosomal RNA
Rfam family: Eukaryotic small subunit ribosomal RNA
Source: RNAcentral